AACCCGGUGAUCUAGCCAUGGGCAGGUUGAAGGUUGGGUAACACUAACUGGAGGACCGAACCGACUAAUGUUGAAAAAUUAGCGGAUGACUUGUGGCUGGGGGUGAAAGGCCAAUCAAACCGGGAGAUAGCUGGUUCUCCCCGAAAGCUAUUUAGGUAGCGCCUCGUGAAUUCAUCUCCGGGGGUAGAGCACUGUUUCGGCAAGGGGGUCAUCCCGACUUACCAACCCGAUGCAAACUGCGAAUACCGGAGAAUGUUAUCACGGGAGACACACGGCGGGUGCUAACGUCCGUCGUGAAGAGGGAAACAACCCAGACCGCCAGCUAAGGUCCCAAAGUCAUGGUUAAGUGGGAAACGAUGUGGGAAGGCCCAGACAGCCAGGAUGUUGGCUUAGAAGCAGCCAUCAUUUAAAGAAAGCGUAAUAGCUCACUGGUCGAGUCGGCCUGCGCGGAAGAUGUAACGGGGCUAAACCAUGCACCGAAGCUGCGGCAGCGACGCUGAUGCGUUGUUGGGUAGGGGAGCGUUCUGUAAGCCUGCGAAGGUGUGCUGUGAGGCAUGCUGGAGGUAUCAGAAGUGCGAAUGCUGACAUAAGUAACGAUAAAGCGGGUGAAAAGCCCGCUCGCCGGAAGACCAAGGGUUCCUGUCCAACGUUAAUCGGGGCAGGGUGAGUCGACCCCUAAGGCGAGGCCGAAAGGCGUAGUCGAUGGGAAACAGGUUAAUAUUCCUGUACUUGGUGUUACUGCGAAGGGGGGACGGAGAAGGCUAUGUUGGCCGGGCGACGGUUGUCCCGGUUUAAGCGUGUAGGCUGGUUUUCCAGGCAAAUCCGGAAAAUCAAGGCUGAGGCGUGAUGACGAGGCACUACGGUGCUGAAGCAACAAAUGCCCUGCUUCCAGGAAAAGCCUCUAAGCAUCAGGUAACAUCAAAUCGUACCCCAAACCGACACAGGUGGUCAGGUAGAGAAUACCAAGGCGCUUGAGAGAACUCGGGUGAAGGAACUAGGCAAAAUGGUGCCGUAACUUCGGGAGAAGG
RNAcentral lists this ribosomal RNA (1028 nucleotides) under Escherichia coli. RNAcentral's name for it is "partial 23S ribosomal RNA". It matches the Rfam family "Bacterial large subunit ribosomal RNA", at positions 719 to 1746 of the family's 2925-position model. Lineage: Bacteria; Pseudomonadati; Pseudomonadota; Gammaproteobacteria; Enterobacterales; Enterobacteriaceae. The record is from RNAcentral.